ACGAAGGGUGCAAGCGUUAAUCGGAAUUACUGGGCGUAAAGCGUGCGUAGGUGGUCUUUUAAGUCCGUUGUGAAAGCCCUGGGCUCAACCUGGGAAUGGCAGUGGAUACUGGAAGGCUGGAGUACGGUAGAGGAGGGUGGAAUUCCCGGUGUAGCGGUGAAAUGCGUAGAGAUCGGGAGGAACAUCAGUGGCGAAGGCGGCCCUCUGGACCAGUACUGACGCUGAGGCACGAAAGCGUGGGGAGCAAACAGGA
Molecule: ribosomal RNA, 253 nt
Filed under: uncultured prokaryote
Description: partial 16S ribosomal RNA
Rfam family: Bacterial small subunit ribosomal RNA
Source: RNAcentral